ACAGCAGCCGCCGCGGUAAUACGUAGGGUGCGAGCGUUAAUCGGAAUUACUGGGCGUAAAGCGCACGUAGGCGGAUUUUUAAGUCAGGGGUGAAGUCCCGAGGCUCAACCUCGGAACUGCCUUUGAUACUGGAGAUCUUGAGUUCGGAAGAGGUUGGUGGAACAGCUAGUGCAGAGGUGAAAUUCGUAGAUAUUAGCUAGAACACCAGUGGCGAAGGCGGCCAACUGGUCCGAUACUGACGCUGAGGUGCGAAAGCGUGGGGAGCAAACAGGAUUAGAUACCCCCGUAGUCCCUGUUUCUUAUAC
RNAcentral lists this ribosomal RNA (305 nucleotides) under uncultured bacterium. RNAcentral's name for it is "partial 16S ribosomal RNA". It matches the Rfam family "Bacterial small subunit ribosomal RNA", at positions 508 to 807 of the family's 1533-position model. The record is from RNAcentral.